This 547-nucleotide ribosomal RNA is filed under the name uncultured bacterium. Its description in RNAcentral is "bacterial SSU rRNA". It matches the Rfam family "Bacterial small subunit ribosomal RNA", at positions 355 to 896 of the family's 1533-position model. The record is from RNAcentral.
UGGGGAAUAUUGCGCAAUGGGGGGAACCCUGACGCAGCCAUGCCGCGUGAAUGAAGAAGGCCUUCGGGUUGUAAAGUUCUUUCGGUAUUGAGGAAGGUUGAUGUGUUAAUAGCACAUCAAAUUGACGUUAAAUACAGAAGAAGCACCGGCUAACUCCGUGCCAGCAGCCGCGGUAAUACGGAGGGUGCGAGCGUUAAUCGGAAUAACUGGGCGUAAAGGGCACGCAGGCGGUUAUUUAAGUGAGGUGUGAAAGCCCUGGGCCUAACCUAGGAAUUGCAUUUCAGACUGGGUAACUAGAGUACUUUAGGGAGGGGUAGAAUUCCACGUGUAGCGGUGAAAUGCGUAGAGAUGUGGAGGAAUACCGAAGGCGAAGGCAGCCCCUUGGGAAUGUACUGACGCUCAUGUGCGAAAGCGUGGGGAGCAAACAGGAUUAGAUACCCUGGUAGUCCACGCUGUAAACGCUGUCGAUUUGGGGGUUGGGGUUUAACUCUGGCGCCCGUAGCUAACGUGAUAAAUCGACCGCCUGGGGAGUACGGCCGCAAGGUUA